GAACUUAGCAAUCAUUCAUUGCUCCGUCUUCUUCUUCAAAGGAUAACUUUAUAUAGAGUUUGGAAGAAUGAGCCGUUGCAAAUCCCAUUUUGGUUGUUGAGAGAUUUUGAACUUAGAUAGCUUCAUCUUCUAGCAUCUGACGAGCAUGGAUGGAGAGAUGCAUUAAAUGCAUUCCAUGCAGCAUUAAAUGUCAAUCUCCUUUUCAAGCAACAUCAUGAUAGAUGACAAUACUUAUCAACACAAGGUUAGAAAACUUUUUUCUCAAAACAAAGUAAAAGAAAAGACUAUACAACACAAAUAGCUUGAUUAGAGUUGACAAAAGCUUGUGUCAAGUUGGUUGUUGAGACAAAAUAGCUUUAACUCAUAUCCCAAGUGAUCUUGAUGUAAAUUUGUGCUUUGCGAAUCAUUUGGGGAACAUAUUCAAGGAUAUUUUUGUUAGGUACAAUGUAAGCUUAAAGACGUCUGUAAAAGUUUUCACUUAUCAAAUGAAGUACUUGUAUCUUGCAAGAUCUACAUUUUUCUAUAAUUCAUUGUCUUCAAACGAAGCAUCUUCAUGUUUUAUACUUUGGUGUGACAAACAUUAAAUCAAAACUAUGAGGCUGAGGGGACUUUACUCUAACAUCUUUGAUAAAGUUUUAAUGUUACUAGAGAUGGAUCAACAGGGAAUAUAGGAGGAACUGAUGAUUCAGUAGGAGAAGUGGAAUACCUAUCUAUCUUCUCAAUGCUAGCAAUAUGGUUAGAAAAGAUAGGAGAAUCUAUUCUGUAGGUUGAUAUGGGGUUGGAAGACAUUUACUUUUUCUGAAAAGCUAGAGGGAAAUAAAAAUUUAGUAGAGGGUGUCAAAAUAGUGAAAGCGAAUCUGGGAGAAAAGUUUGCUAAAAGAAUUCUUCUGGAGAAAGUGGGUCUACAAGACGGUUUGAAAAAGGUUCUAGAUAUCAUUUUUAUAGAGUAAAAUUUAAGUCUAAAUCAAGCUCACAAAAUUGGCUUGAUAAGGUAGGUUUGUACUCACUUAUAUAUUAUAAUUUGAUCAUAUCUCUGAUUGAUGAGAGAUUUUCAACACUAACUUCAUCCAUGGGACCACUGCACCUUUUCUGAUCGUUGUCCUACAAAUAUAUUUGUGUAUGUGAUGUGUGGUACCUACCCAUGUAUUUCUGUUGGGUGUAUGGUUGCAAUAUUGUAUUUCUCAUGUUUACUUCUUUGGGUCUAGUGUCUGAUGGGUGCUUUUUGUCAUGUUGUUAAUCCUUAUAUGGAAAUAGAUCCCUAUAUUUGUAUAUAUUAAAUGGUUUUCCUAGUCCAAUUCCUUAAUAUCUGUGCCUGGUUCUUUUGCAAAAUUUGCAGUUAAUGGCUCUUUUACUUCUGAAGUAUGUUGCUCCCCUCUUCAAUGCUGAUGUGGAGAAAGUUUUAACGUAUUUUUAUUUUUUCUUUCUUCGUACGGCGGCUGUUGUCCUUCCUUGGUAUCUUAUGGCCUGGAUAAUUCGCGUAAUACAGCAUCAAAGGCAAAGACAACAAGCACCUGAAGAACUUGCAUUUAUGCUACAAGCAGACGAACAAGGUUAGCAGUUUGCAAUAUCACCAGGAUCUAUUUUUCACUGAUUAAUUCCCGUAAGUGCUGUGGAAUGCCAUCCCUAAUACAAGGACCUUAGAAAUUGUGGUUGGAUCAGUAGUGCAACAGAAUAAGAUCUGACGGCCCUGUUUCUGGUUCUCCAUUUGUAUCUUUCUCGGGUUAUAAUACCCCACCUCCCUCCUUUUCUCACUCUUUCUUCUGUAAAUAGGUAUAUUAUACAUAAUCUCAUCACCCCAAAUACAGCUUAUAUAGCUGCUGAUUGGGAAAUUGGUGUUAUCUGGAAAUGUUCAACUAUGAAAAUAUCUGUAUACAAAUUUGUAGUUUAUUGAUGUCAUUAAUAUAUUAUGAAAAUAGAAUAAAUUGACCAAACAUAUUUCAAACUUUAUUUUGGCCUUUUACUAUUAUUUUUUAGUAUCAGCGAAGAAGUGUAGUUUAUGUUAACCUGCCUAACUUAAAAUAAUCUGUCGUUCAAAUUCAAGAUUUGCAUGCCAUUUUUGUUGUUAUCAACCAACUUCUAUGAUGAACUCUCAGGGGUAGCAGAGCUGAAAAGGGAAAUUGAUCAUUGAUUUCUAUCUUCGAACAAAUUAUUUGAAUGUGCGGCUGCAGCAUUCUCCCAAUAGCCGAAAUGACAUGGCUGAUGGAAUUGUUUUAAAUUACGGUUGCAGUUUCAUGCAGUUCUUGAAAUUUUGUGAAAUUGUUGUUGAUGGGGGCGAUUAAAACCAUAAACCAUGUUUGCUGGUCAGCGUUGGCUCAACAAAGUAUGUAGUAUGGCUGCUUUCGCAUCUAGGACGAGCUCCUCCUGCCAUCACCACCACCGGACUACCUUAUACCACCAACAAGCUCUUCUAGGAAGCUCUGACACCUCCAAACAAGCACACCACAGUAAUCACACCACCACAAAGAAGCCCACCAGCACAGGGAAGGAGGAAGAAGAAAUGUGAUUUCUAUGGUGGGAUGUGGGGACUGCUUUAAAUGAAGUGGUUGAAUAUUGGCUAAAAGUUUUUUUUUUUUAACUACAUUUAAAUUUUUGGUAAGGGCAAAUGGGAAAUUGGAAGGUGCAUAGAAAAGACUGUAAUGGUGUAAGGAGAAAC
Non-coding RNA from Vigna umbellata (rice bean), 2653 nucleotides. The record is from RefSeq and is a predicted model, not a curated record. NCBI's taxonomy places the organism in Eukaryota, Viridiplantae, Streptophyta, Magnoliopsida, Fabales, Fabaceae.